Molecule: ribosomal RNA, 1155 nt
Filed under: Escherichia coli
Lineage: Bacteria; Pseudomonadati; Pseudomonadota; Gammaproteobacteria; Enterobacterales; Enterobacteriaceae
Description: bacterial SSU rRNA
Rfam family: Bacterial small subunit ribosomal RNA
Source: RNAcentral
AGAGUUUGAUCAUGGCUCAGAUUGAACGCUGGCGGCAGGCCUAACACAUGCAAGUCGAACGGUAACAGGAAGAAGCUUGCUUCUUUGCUGACGAGUGGCGGACGGGUGAGUAAUGUCUGGGAAACUGCCUGAUGGAGGGGGAUAACUACUGGAAACGGUAGCUAAUACCGCAUAACGUCGCAAGACCAAAGAGGGGGACCUUCGGGCCUCUUGCCAUCGGAUGUGCCCAGAUGGGAUUAGCUAGUAGGUGGGGUAACGGCUCACCUAGGCGACGAUCCCUAGCUGGUCUGAGAGGAUGACCAGCCACACUGGAACUGAGACACGGUCCAGACUCCUACGGGAGGCAGCAGUGGGGAAUAUUGCACAAUGGGCGCAAGCCUGAUGCAGCCAUGCCGCGUGUAUGAAGAAGGCCUUCGGGUUGUAAAGUACUUUCAGCGGGGAGGAAGGGAGUAAAGUUAAUACCUUUGCUCAUUGACGUUACCCGCAGAAGAAGCACCGGCUAACUCCGUGCCAGCAGCCGCGGUAAUACGGAGGGUGCAAGCGUUAAUCGGAAUUACUGGGCGUAAAGCGCACGCAGGCGGUUUGUUAAGUCAGAUGUGAAAUCCCCGGGCUCAACCUGGGAACUGCAUCUGAUACUGGCAAGCUUGAGUCUCGUAGAGGGGGGUAGAAUUCCAGGUGUAGCGGUGAAAUGCGUAGAGAUCUGGAGGAAUACCGGUGGCGAAGGCGGCCCCCUGGACGAAGACUGACGCUCAGGUGCGAAAGCGUGGGGAGCAAACAGGAUUAGAUACCCUGGUAGUCCACGCCGUAAACGAUGUCGACUUGGAGGUUGUGCCCUUGAGGCGUGGCUUCCGGAGCUAACGCGUUAAGUCGACCGCCUGGGGAGUACGGCCGCAAGGUUAAAACUCAAAUGAAUUGACGGGGGCCCGCACAAGCGGUGGAGCAUGUGGUUUAAUUCGAUGCAACGCGAAGAACCUUACCUGGUCUUGACAUCCACAGAACUUUCCAGAGAUGGAUUGGUGCCUUCGGGAACUGUGAGACAGGUGCUGCAUGGCUGUCGUCAGCUCGUGUUGUGAAAUGUUGGGUUAAGUCCCGCAACGAGCGCAACCCUUAUCCUUUGUUGCCAGCGGUCCGGCCGGGAACUCAAAGGAGACUGCC